This is a long non-coding RNA of Oreochromis aureus, 880 nucleotides long. The record is from Ensembl. NCBI's taxonomy places the organism in Eukaryota, Metazoa, Chordata, Actinopteri, Cichliformes, Cichlidae.
GUUGCAACUGUGCAGACCUCAGCUGUGUCUGCUGGACCUUCUCUGACACAGUGGGUCAGGAGAAAAACACUGACUGAGCCUGAAUCCACCGCUGAGUGACACCCUGCAUGAGACCGUCACACAGAAUGACAGACUGCGGGAAACAGAGUUCGCCAAGAGCGUUCCAAGGUGUGAUGAGCACAGUGGACAGCGGAGCCUGAAGCGAGGCUGGAUAAGGGCUUCAGCAUAAGAGUCUCUGCCCCAGCAGCAACAACUGGAAAGGAAAUUGUUGGCUCCCGUGUCUUACCGAGCAGCAUUUCUCCUUCAGAAAGCAGCUGCGUGCGUGUUUAUGUGUGCGCAGAGUGCCCUUCCCUCUGUUUCAUGUAAUAACCUUUUUUUCCCCUCACUUGCUGCAUGAAUUGUUUCAACACUGUUUCUCUUUAAGUAAAGGACAAAGAAAACUAAUUUUACUAUUAAUCGAAAGUGCCAAGUUUGUUGUUUUGUGCGCCUAUUUUAUCCCUCAAAGAAGCUGCAUAUUUAUUUUGUAAUUUUGUACAUUGUAUGUUUUGGAAUUUACUGUCAAUGUUUUGUGUCAAAGUGCCACUUGUUAAACAAAUGCCUAACAAAAAGGAGGAUCACACUUUGCCUGUGUUGCACAAAAUGUAAUAAAUAGAAGCACGGUAGACAAACAAAAAGCAUGCAGAAGCCGUACCAGCACCACAGAAGUGAAUAUUUAUAACCUACUAAGGGAAAUGAAAAUGCACCAAAUUAUAUAUAAAUCUCACAAUAUUCCUAAUGUCUUAAUUAGGGAUCGUUAAGCUUUUUUUGUCACUGUAAUUGUUUUGUUCUCUGUUUGCAUGCUUGUGCACACAGCAAAUCCAAUUCUUUUAUUAAGCUAACA